RNAcentral lists this ribosomal RNA (253 nucleotides) under uncultured bacterium. Its description in RNAcentral is "partial 16S ribosomal RNA". It matches the Rfam family "Bacterial small subunit ribosomal RNA", at positions 524 to 776 of the family's 1533-position model. The record is from RNAcentral.
UACGUAGGGUGCAAGCGUUAAUCGGAAUUACUGGGCGUAAAGCGUGCGCAGGCGGCUUUGCAAGACAGAUGUGAAAUCCCCGGGCUUAACCUGGGAACUGCAUUUGUGACUGCAUGGCUGGAGUGCGGCAGAGGGGGAUGGAAUUCCGCGUGUAGCAGUGAAAUGCGUAGAUAUGCGGAGGAACACCGAUGGCGAAGGCAGCCUUCUGGGCCAACACUGACGCUCAUGCACGAAAGCGUGGGGAGCAAACAGG